AGAGUUUGAUCAUGGUCAGGAUGAACGCUAGCGGGAGGCUUAACACAUGCAAGUCGAACGGUAACAUAGAAAGCUUGCUUUCUGAUGACGAGUGGCGCACGGGUGAGUAACGCGUAUGCAACUUACCCUCAACUAGGGAAUAGCCCAGAGAAAUCUGGAUUAAUACCCCAUAAUAUCAACAGUUCGCAUGUUCAGUUGAUUAAAGAUUUACGGUUGAGGAUAGGCAUGCGUCCUAUUAGUUUGUUGGUGAGGUAACGGCUCACCAAGACUACGAUAGGUAGGGGGCCUGAGAGGGUGAUCCCCCACACUGGUACUGAGACACGGACCAGACUCCUACGGGAGGCAGCAGUGAGGAAUAUUGGUCAAUGGACGAAAGUCUGAACCAGCCAUCCCGCGUGAAGGACUGACGGCCCUACGGGUUGUAAACUUCUUUUAUUUGGGAAGAAACCCCCCUACGUGUAGGGGGCUGACGGUACCAAACGAAUAAGCACCGGCUAACUCCGUGCCAGCAGCCGCGGUAAUACGGAGGGUGCAAGCGUUAUCCGGAUUUAUUGGGUUUAAAGGGUGCGCAGGCGGGAGAUUAUGUCAGUGGUGAAAUCCUACAGCUCAACUGUAGAACUGCCAUUGAAACUGAUCUUCUUGAAUCUGGCUGAUGUGGGCGGAAUAUGUCGUGUAGCGGUGAAAUGCUUAGAUAUGACAUGGAACACCCGAUUGCGAAGGCAGCUCACAAAACCAGUAUUGACGCUCAGGCACGAAAGCGUGGGUAGCGAACAGGAUUAGAUACCCUGGUAGUCCCACGCCCGUAAACGAUGAUCACUCGACAUUGGCGAUAUACAGUCCGUGUCCAA
This 848-nucleotide ribosomal RNA is filed under the name uncultured deep-sea bacterium. RNAcentral describes it as "bacterial SSU rRNA". It matches the Rfam family "Bacterial small subunit ribosomal RNA", at positions 8 to 850 of the family's 1533-position model. The record is from RNAcentral.